UAGAAAAGGAAAGAGAUUCCUCCCAGG
Molecule: non-coding RNA, 27 nt
Filed under: Mus musculus (house mouse)
Lineage: Eukaryota; Metazoa; Chordata; Mammalia; Rodentia; Muridae
Source: RNAcentral